UGGGGAGUCGCCAAGUGGUAAGGCAACCGCCUCUGGAGCGGUCAUACGGGGGUUCGAAUCCCUCCUCCCCAG
Candidatus Peribacteria bacterium is the source of this 72-nucleotide non-coding RNA. Lineage: Bacteria; Candidatus Peregrinibacteriota; Candidatus Peribacteria. The record is from Rfam.